RNAcentral lists this ribosomal RNA (889 nucleotides) under uncultured bacterium. RNAcentral's name for it is "bacterial SSU rRNA". It matches the Rfam family "Bacterial small subunit ribosomal RNA", at positions 8 to 887 of the family's 1533-position model. The record is from RNAcentral.
AGAGUUUGAUCAGGGCUCAGAUUGAACGCUGGCGGCAGGCCUAACACAUGCAAGUCGGACGGUAGCACAGAAGAGCUUGCUCUUCGGGUGACGAGUGGCGGACGGGUGAGUAAUGUCUGGGGAUCUGCCCGGCAGAGGGGGAUAACUACUGGAAACGGUAGCUAAUACCGCAUAACCUCGCAAGAGCAAAGAGGGGGACCUUCGGGCCUCUCGCUGCCGGAUGAACCCAGAUGGGAUUAGCUUGUUGGUGGGGUAACGGCUCACCAAGGCGACGAUCCCUAGCUGGUCUGAGAGGAUGACCAGCCACACUGGAACUGAGACACGGUCCAGACUCCUACGGGAGGCAGCAGUGGGGAAUAUUGCACAAUGGGCGCAAGCCUGAUGCAGCCAUGCCGCGUGUAUGAAGAAGGCCUUCGGGUUGUAAAGUACUUUCAGCGGGGAGGAAGGGUCGCUGGUUAAUAACCAGCGGCAUUGACGUUACCCGCAGAAGAAGCACCGGCUAACUCCGUGCCAGCAGCCGCGGUAAUACGGAGGGUGCAAGCGUUAAUCGGAAUUACUGGGCGUAAAGCGCACGCAGGCGGUCUGUCAAGUCAGAUGUGAAAUCCCCGGGCUUAACCUGGGAACUGCAUUUGAAACUGGCAGGCUAGAGUCUUGUAGAGGGGGGUAGAAUUCCAGGUGUAGCGGUGAAAUGCGUAGAGAUCUGGAGGAAUACCGGUGGCGAAGGCGGCCCCCUGGACAAAGACUGACGCUCAGUGCGAAAGCGUGGGGAGCAAACAGGGUUAGAUACCCUGGUAGUCCACGCCGUAAACGAUGUCGACUUGGAGGUUGUGCCCUUGAGGCGUGGCUUCCGGAGCUAACGCGUUAAGUCGACCGCCUGGGGAGUACGGCC